Molecule: ribosomal RNA, 491 nt
Filed under: Chrysotus longipalpus
Lineage: Eukaryota; Metazoa; Arthropoda; Insecta; Diptera; Dolichopodidae
Description: partial 12S ribosomal RNA
Source: RNAcentral
UAAUAAAUUAUAUUUAAUAAUAAUAAAAGUGUUUAUUAAUUAAAUAAAAAAAAUAUUAAGUGAAAUUUUAUUUUUUUUUUGUAAUUUUUAGAUUAAUUGAUUUUAAUAAAAUUUGAUUAUAAACUAGGAUUAGAUACCCUAUUAUUCAAUUUGUAAUUUAAAGUAUUUGAGUAGUAGUAGUUAAAGUCUUGAAACUUAAAAAAUUUGGCGGUAUUUUAGUCUAUUCAGAGGAACCUGUAGUGUAAUUGAUAAUCCACGUUGGACCUUAUUUAGUUUUGUUUUACAGUUUGUAUACCGCCGUUAUUAAAAAAUUUUAUAAGAAUAAUAAUUUUUAUGAUUUUUAAUUAAAAAAUAAAUCAGGUCAAGGUGCAGCUUAUAAUUAAAUAUUUUAUGGGUUACAAUAAAUUUAUUUAUUAUGAAUUAAAUUGUGAAAAAUAAUUUAUGAAAGUGGAUUUGAAAGUAAAUUUUUAUAGAUAAAAAAGUUGAUUUUA